This 472-nucleotide ribosomal RNA is filed under the name uncultured bacterium. RNAcentral's name for it is "bacterial SSU rRNA". It matches the Rfam family "Bacterial small subunit ribosomal RNA", at positions 355 to 825 of the family's 1533-position model. The record is from RNAcentral.
UGGGGAAUAUUGGACAAUGGGCGAAAGCCUGAUCCAGCCAUGCCGCGUGUGUGAAGAAGGUCUUCGGAUUGUAAACUCCUGUUAGGGGGGACGAAGGGAUGUCGGCGAACAGCCGGCAAACUUGACGGUACCCCCAGAGGAAGCCCCGGCUAACUCUGUGCCAGCAGCCGCGGUAAUACAGAGGGGGCAAGCGUUAAUCGGAAUUACUGGGCGUAAAGCGCGCGUAGGUGGUUUGUUAAGUUGGAUGUGAAAUCCCCGGGCUCAACCUGGGAACUGCAUUCAAAACUGACUGACUAGAGUAUGGUAGAGGGUGGUGGAAUUUCCUGUGUAGCGGUGAAAUGCGUAGAUAUAGGAAGGAACACCAGUGGCGAAGGCGACCACCUGGACUAAUACUGACACUGAGGUGCGAAAGCGUGGGGAGCAAACAGGAUUAGAUACCCCUGUAGUCCCUGAGCGGGCUGGCAAGGCGCAU